RNA transcript from Oryza brachyantha (malo sina), 2446 nucleotides. It is a transcript of the gene named F-box/kelch-repeat protein At3g61590, with no coding region annotated. NCBI's taxonomy places the organism in Eukaryota, Viridiplantae, Streptophyta, Magnoliopsida, Poales, Poaceae. The record is from RefSeq and is a predicted model, not a curated record. The transcript is spliced from 3 exons.
CUCAAAGCCGCCAACCCGCCCCCCCGCUCCGUUACCCACCGAGCCGCCGCCGGCUAGGCGACGGGCCACGGGCCUUCUCCCCCCUCGACUCCUCCCGCCCCGCGCCGGCGCCCUCCUGGUUCCCUUCUCCGGCAAUCUUCUGCCUCCGGCCCUCUGUCGGCGACGCGGGAGGCUAUCCAAGUCAUCUCUGCUGCAUGCCUGACGACUGGUAUCAUGGAGGACAAUUCAUCAUGGACCGCUCUCUCAAUUGGUCACAUUAGAAUAUCUGCAUUCAAUUUCGGAAUUGUUUCUGAGGAUACCAACGAAGGCAAAGAAAUUCCACUCUCAUUGGAUGUUGUUGUUCCUGAUGAUAUCCUGGAGAGAAUUUUCACAUUUUUGCCGAUAGUAAGCAUGAUAAGGUCAACAGCAGUAUGCAGAAGAUGGUAUGACAUUAUCUACUCAAGCAGGUUUCUUUGGACCCACAUGUUGCCUCAGAGGCCAUGGUACUUCAUGUUCACCUCUAAUGAAAGUGCUGAUGGGUAUGCAUAUGAUCCAAUUCUCCGUAAAUGGUAUGAUUUAGAGCUUCCAUGCAUUGAGAAGAGCAGUUGCUUUGUCUCUUCUUCAUGCGGAUUAGUUUGUUUUAUGGAUAAUGACAAUAGGAAUGCCAUUUCUGUAUCAAAUCCUAUCACAAAAGAUUGUAAGAGAAUUUUGGAGCCCCCCGGUUCAAAGUUUCCAGACUACAGUACAAUUGCCAUAAAGGUAGAUCGUUCUUCUCAUACUUACACCAUUACAUUGGCAAAAUCCAAGCAAAUUCCUGAUGAUUAUGUCCGAUGGCAUUUCUCUUUAUACAAGUAUGACUCGCGUAGUACUUUGUGGGUAACUGUGGUGGACGAGGUGUUCAUUGGUUGGAGAGGGGGUGAUGAUAGUGUGAUAUGUGAUGGAGUAUUGUACUGUUUAAUUCACUCCACUGGCAUUCUUGGUAAUGUUGAUCCGCGUCAUAGCAUUGUCAUCUAUGACCUUAUUGAUGGGCCGUCUAAGGCAUCACUAAUGCAAUCGUCAAUCCCAGUACCGUGUUUUCUCACCUGUGGACGUCUGGUUAACUUGAGGGAGAAACUGGUUAUGGUUGGUGGGAUUGCAAAACACAACAGACCUGACAUCAUUAAAGGAAUUGGGAUAUGGGAACUUCACAACAAACAAUGGGAAGAGGUAGGUCGAAUGCCUCAUAAACUCUUUCAAGGAUUUGGUGAAUUUGAUGAUGUAUUUGCUAGCAGUGGCACAGAUGACCUUAUUUAUAUCCAAAGCUAUGGCGCAACUGCUUUGCUUACUUUUGAUAUGAAGCAGAAGCAGUGGAAGUGGUCAGCAAAAUGCCCUGUGAGCAAAAGAUUUCCUCUCCAGCUUUUCACUGGCUUUUGCUUUGAGCCUCGUCUAGAUAUUACCACUUAAUUGUAAUACUCUGUGCCUUUGCCUUCCAAUGGAAUCAGGUUGGCAAUCUUAGUCUUUGUGAAUAUAUGCAUGCUUCGUUAGAUUGUUGCUUGUCAUUCGUCCUGAUGGUUUAAUCUUCAGUAUGUAGAUCUAUCUCUCUGUUAAAAAAUGUGGCUUCUAUAUUCGUGAAAAAGAGUGCAUCCAUCUAUGUCAUUUAUCAGGUUUAUCUGAAUUCUCCAGUUCAGCCAAUCACUGCCUUGACAAAAGCUGCAUACAGUGUCAAUGCUUGAUGCAGCAGGCUUAGCACCCAUGCAUAUAAGUGAACGAGCGAUUGUCCUUGCAGCAUGGUUAGACAGAUACUCGACAAGUUCAACUGUAUGCAUUUUGUUUCUUGCGAUACUUCAUCAAUGAUGGGCCUACCCAUCUGAAGCUGCUGCUCCGGAACAGCUUGCACACUGGACGUACCAGGCGAUUGAAAGCCGUUUCUCUGAACACUGACCAGUCACCAGCUGAUUUUGUAGAAUCAUCAUGGGCCAAAAUCCAGGUUUCCACUUGUAGGACCUGGCCCAUCCUUCACUGUCCGUCCCUGAAACCGCCAUGACUCUGCGUGCGUGAUGCAAGUAAAGCCAGAGAGGCCAUUGAUGAGAUUCCAGCUCGUCACAGCUCUCUCUGUAUGUAGUGCUCAGCUGUGGCAUUCAUAGUUCAGCCGUCUCAGCGUUUCUCAGAAUGGUGUCACGCGCUCAUGCUCUGCAUAUGAUUUUGUUUUGUUGCCUUGCAGUUUGCACAGUUCUCUCUCACAAUAUUUUUUUUUGGCCGUUUUAAACUUGUUAGCUCACUCUAGGUAUGGGCACCAUGCCACCAUGAUAUAUUUGAUAUGGGGCCAAAUUGUAUGAUGCUUUUCUUUCCUAACCUUUACCUCAGCUCUGAUUUGUUUCCCUGUUCUGUUCUGUGUGGUGUUUUAACCAGAGUACCGCCAGUCAGAUGUGGCCUACCUUACAGGUUUGUAAUCGUUUUUGUUCGCUAAGAAAUCAUUAAUCUCCUAUUG